RNAcentral lists this ribosomal RNA (495 nucleotides) under uncultured bacterium. RNAcentral's name for it is "partial 16S ribosomal RNA". It matches the Rfam family "Bacterial small subunit ribosomal RNA", at positions 28 to 507 of the family's 1533-position model. The record is from RNAcentral.
GACGAACGCUGGCGGCGUGCCUAAUACAUGCAAGUGGAACGCUGAAGGAGGAGCUUGCUUCUCGGGAUGAGUUGCGAACGGGUGAGUAACGCGUAGGUAACCUGCCUGGUAGCGGGGGAUAACUAUUGGAAACGAUAGCUAAUACCGCAUAAUAGUAGAUGUUGCAUGACAUUUGCUUAAAAGGUGCAAUUGCUUCACUACCAGAUGGACCUGCGUUGUAUUAGCUAGUUGGUGGGGUAACGGCUCACCAAGGCGACGAUACAUAGCCGACCUGAGAGGGUGAUCGGCCACACUGGGACUGAGACACGGCCCAGACUCCUACGGGAGGCAGCAGUAGGGAAUCUUCGGCAAUGGACGGAAGUCUGACCGAGCAACGCCGCGUGAGUGAAGAAGGUUUUCGGAUCGCAAAGCUCUGUUGUAAGAGAAGAACGAGUGUGAGAGUGGAAAGUUCACACUGUGACGGUAUCUUACCAGAAAGGGACGGCUAACUACGUG